This is a long non-coding RNA of Oncorhynchus keta (chum salmon), 369 nucleotides long. RefSeq lists it as uncharacterized. The transcript is spliced from 3 exons. The record is from RefSeq and is a predicted model, not a curated record. NCBI's taxonomy places the organism in Eukaryota, Metazoa, Chordata, Actinopteri, Salmoniformes, Salmonidae.
GUGGUCAGGGUGGUGUAUGUAGCUGCUGCAGGCUAGGAGGGACAACGGAACGGACAGUGUGGUCAGGGUGGUGUAUGUAGCUGCUGCAGGCUAGGAGGGACAACGGAACGGACAGUGUGGUCAGGGUGGUGUAUGUAGCUGCUGCAGGCUAGGAGGGACAACGGAACGGACAGUGUGGUCAGGGUGGUGUAUGUAGCUGCUGCAGGCUAGGAGGGACAACGGAACGGACAGUGUGGUCAGGGUGGUGUAUGUAGCUGCUGCAGACUAGGAGGGACAACGGAACGGACAGUGUGGUCAGGGUGGUGUAUGUAGCUGCUGCAGGCUAGGAGGGACAACGGAACGGACAGAGCCUCACCUGUUUUCUUUUCC